GGAAUUAUGCCUGAAUGCCUAAGGACCACUUUGAUAGAGUGACAAACGGGGGUUAAAACCCCCCUAAUUCCU
This 72-nucleotide transfer RNA is filed under the name Dolichopteryx minuscula (small spookfish). RNAcentral describes it as "tRNA-Ile". It matches the Rfam family "tRNA". From Rfam's summary of the family: Transfer RNA (tRNA) molecules are approximately 80 nucleotides in length. Their secondary structure includes four short double-helical elements and three loops (D, anti-codon, and T loops). The record is from RNAcentral. Lineage: Eukaryota; Metazoa; Chordata; Actinopteri; Argentiniformes; Opisthoproctidae.